RNAcentral lists this ribosomal RNA (200 nucleotides) under uncultured bacterium. RNAcentral's name for it is "partial 16S ribosomal RNA". It matches the Rfam family "Bacterial small subunit ribosomal RNA", at positions 8 to 177 of the family's 1533-position model. The record is from RNAcentral.
AGAGUUUGAUCCUGGCUCAGGAUGAACGCUGGCGGCGUGCCUAAUACAUGCAAGUCGAGCGGAAAGGCUCCUCCAGACUAUUUAAGCGAGAGUUUGAAUAGUGCGGUGGAGUACUCGAGCGGCGGACGGCUGAGUAACACGUAGGAACGUACCCCAAACUGAGGGAUAAGCACCAGAAAUGGUGUCUAAUACCGCAUGUG